GAAAACUGCUUUCCAGCCGCCGCGCAAACCAUGAAGAGGCGACCAGGCCAGAGGCUGCUGCUGAAUGGGAUUUCAAUGACAGAGCACUGCUGGCUUGAUUGUAUUGCUUCUCGAGGAGUGUAAUGUCCUCUCAUGACUUCAGAUUGAUGUGACCACAGCCGAUAGCAUAUGUAGACAGGCGGACAAACAAGGUCAGACAUGGGUGUGACUAUCCUGCUGACUGUAACAGACACUUACGAGCAAAUUCAGGAUAGUGGAUUUGUGGUUUUUCGUUACUCGCUGAGCGCCGUGGCCUGUGAAGGGAACACCUGUAGUACAGCUCCGCGAGGCAAGCCUCAGGGAGGAAACAAGAAAGGAAUGCUGCUUUUACUGGAAAUAUCAAUAAAGAAAACAACACGUUUUUAGAUUAUGGAUAUGUUAAGUUACCUCUUAUUUUACAUUUGACUUUACUAAGGUUAAACAUAUUAGUAUGUUGCUUACCAAUUAUGCCAUUUGGGGAAAAUAUUUUCAGGUAUUUUUUCUGCAGGAUGUAAUGAGAAAUAACUAACGUUUCCAAUCUUUGUUGCCCAUAC
This is a long non-coding RNA of Cyprinodon variegatus (sheepshead minnow), 572 nucleotides long. RefSeq lists it as uncharacterized. The record is from RefSeq and is a predicted model, not a curated record. The transcript is spliced from 4 exons. Lineage: Eukaryota; Metazoa; Chordata; Actinopteri; Cyprinodontiformes; Cyprinodontidae.